UAUGGCUUUGUUGCCCCCAUGUUAAUUUUGUAGCUGCUCCCUCACCCUUAGCUCCAAGUAUAAAGUACUAUAAUAGCUAGAGUUUCGAGUAAGAGACUUGGUAGCAGCUUUUAACUUUAAGGCCUGGCAUCUUCUCAAAUCAUCAUACAUCAUUAAGUUUCAGUGUACAAGUGAUUAACUCCUAAUUCUAUAGGUUUUUUUUAAAACCUACUGUACUUUCUUGCUUAUUAACAUUCCCGUAUAUUGCGUAAUUAAAAAUUCAAAGCCUUGUUUAUGCACUUGAGGGUUUAUGGCUACUAGUUUUGACAUGUGCCAUGCAGUAUUUCUGUUUUAUAAGAGGUUGAGAAAGAAAGGUAAACUUCUUCCUGAUGUAAAUAGUCUCUGUGUUUGGAUAUUCUUUACAGGUUUCUUUGUACAUUUUCUGUGGGAGGCACCCUUCUUCUGUGGCCAGUGUACUCCACCUACUACAUAGUUUGUAACCUAAGUGCCUUUGGGGUAACUUAAGCUGCUUCAUUAAUCUGAGCCAUUCCUUCCCAGGCACAGGGAGGAGGCUGCCAGGUGGCUGUUGGCCAAGCCUUCCUGGGACAGACCCCAUUCUCCCUGCUCAUCGACGACCCUACUGUCGGUUAUGUCUGAGGCUGGUAUAUUUCCAGUGUGUUUCCAAGUUCUGUUUGGUUCAGAAAUUAGAACAAAUUACCCAAAUUAAGCUCUCAAUGCUUAUUUCAAUCAGCCAACUUGUUCUUUGGGCUUUUGUUUCUCUACUAAGUAGCGCCCCUCUGCAUAUAUAUUGAAGUAAGCCGUAUAUUUUAGGGGUCCAUUUUCUCCAUCUCUCCCUCCAAAAAAAAACCUCCAGACUAGCCACACUGUGUUUCAUUCCAAGCAUCCCCUCUCCCAUCCUACCUCAUCCAGCAGGUCUCUAAGCUUCCUUCUCUGACUCUACCCACCCAGUCAGCAAGUCUGAUACUGCCUCCUCUAACAUUCUGACUUCUGCAUGACUUUCAGAAUGCCCAGCCCUCCAUCUUCCACUGUCUCAUGUUGAGAUGGUGCCCUCAACAGGGUCUUCUGGAGAAAAACAGUGCCUCCUGGUGCAAGCAUGCACUCACUCCUCUGAGGUGAGCCAGCCUCUGGACCUUCACUCAUCUGCCUACAUCUCGGCCCCUCCACUCUUCCAGCUGUCAAAGCAGCAGCCAAAUUCUAGAUCCCAGUGGCUCUUGCACAUCCUACAGAAGCAACCCGCCAUCAGGUUUCUCUGCUUUUUAUACUCAAGCUCUGAAGCUUGGCAGGCAGCCAGGCUACUCUUCAUUAGGUGAGGACUGGAGUGAACUUGGAGAAACAGAUCCAUCACCUGGAGCUGUUUCCUGGAUGUUAGAAAUGCCGUCCAGCUCCACUGAGUUUCUGGAUGCUGUGGCAGGACUCGGGUGUCUACUUCUUGUGCAAGCAGGCUGCUUUGAAUUUUCAGUUUUCACUUCUUUUUCCUUCCCCUUCAAACGCUGUGAGGAAUCCUGUCAUUUCUCACUGUCUUGCUGUGACAGCAGUUAUGGUCCUGGAUUGAGAAACCAAGAAAGGGGAGGCCCUCACUCUCCUCUCUCUCUCUCUCUCUCUCUCUCUCUCUCUCUCUCUCUCUCUCUCUCUCUCUUCUCUCUCUCUCUCUCUCUCUCCCCAUUGCUUGUGCGGAUUCUAGAACCAGCUUUUUCAGCAGCCGUUUGACCCCUCCCCCCACCCCCUACCAUAGUGAAUGCUCUGUUUGUUUUUGUGGGGUGGCUUCAGCUUCUCUUUGUUUUGUUUUACAAAUAUUUACUCUAGCACCUGACUUACAGAAUACAAAUAUUUAUCAAAAAUUAAAAAUUCUUGGCACAACACUCCUGUCCUAUGAAAAGGCUUCCAUUGUUCCUACAACUGCAGAGAUAGAGAAAAUGAAACACUAUUCUUCAGCACAGUGUGCCGAGCACUGCUUGCUGGUUUUGUGCAUGAUGUCAGUCUUGCCAUCACCAGCACUGCAGAAGGUGGUGUUACUUGGUCUGAGUGGCCUUUAGUUUCGCAUAUAGAGGUUGGUUACAAAAGCAGAGGAACAAUAGGAAUUUUUAUAGUUUAAAGCAGCGCUGCCCUUGGUCUGAAGUCAUGGGAAUCCUCAUCACAGUCAGUCCUGUAAGCUCUGUUGGCUCAAGUC
Mastomys coucha (southern multimammate mouse) is the source of this 2167-nucleotide long non-coding RNA. RefSeq lists it as uncharacterized. NCBI's taxonomy places the organism in Eukaryota, Metazoa, Chordata, Mammalia, Rodentia, Muridae. The transcript is spliced from 2 exons. The record is from RefSeq and is a predicted model, not a curated record.